UACGUAGGGUGCGAGCGUUGCCCGGAUUUAUUGGGCGUAAAGGGCGCGUAGGCGGCUCGGCACGUCCGUUGUGAAAUCGCUCGGCUCAACUGGGCGAGGUCAGCGGAUACGGUCGAGCUUGAGCCAGCUAGGGGGCAAUGGAAUUCCCGGUGUAGUGGUGGAAUGCGUAGAGAUCGGGAAGAACAUCAGUGGCGAAGGCGGUCUGCUGGGCCGUUGCUGACGCUGAUGCGCGACAGCGUGGGGAGCAAACAGG
Molecule: ribosomal RNA, 253 nt
Filed under: uncultured bacterium
Lineage: Bacteria
Description: partial 16S ribosomal RNA
Rfam family: Bacterial small subunit ribosomal RNA
Source: RNAcentral